GGGCCCGUACCCCAGCAGGCCAGAGGGAGCCGUUUUAGGGGCGGCGUGUCGUGGGUUCGAGUCCCACCGGGCCCAC
Molecule: transfer RNA, 76 nt
Filed under: Streptomyces finlayi
Lineage: Bacteria; Bacillati; Actinomycetota; Actinomycetes; Kitasatosporales; Streptomycetaceae
Also listed under: 1 other name
Description: tRNA-Leu
Rfam family: tRNA
About the family: Transfer RNA (tRNA) molecules are approximately 80 nucleotides in length. Their secondary structure includes four short double-helical elements and three loops (D, anti-codon, and T loops). Further hydrogen bonds mediate the characteristic L-shaped molecular structure. tRNAs have two regions of fundamental functional importance: the anti-codon, which is responsible for specific mRNA codon recognition, and the 3' end, to which the tRNAs corresponding amino acid is attached (by aminoacyl-tRNA synthetases). tRNAs cope with the degeneracy of the genetic code in two manners: having more than one tRNA (with a specific anti-codon) for a particular amino acid; and 'wobble' base-pairing, i.e. permitting non-standard base-pairing at the 3rd anti-codon position.
Source: RNAcentral